GGGGGUGCACCGGUUUCGACGGGUGUGAUCGUGGUCUUGAACUGCAGGUGAGGCCGCCUGUCCUCUGAACAGACAAACCUAUAAUCGCCAAGAAAGAAGACGAUUACGAAGAAGAAUACGCACUCGCUGCGUAACUUCCGGGAUUCACUCUGCUCCGCUCUGUGCGGUCUGAACUCCUGUUACUGAUCAGGGCUUGCUUUUCAUGGUGUCUGGUACGUGAAAGGGACUCUUAAUCAGAAUACGGAGGCGACGCUUGUAAUGCUGCUACCGUCUCCCGACAACCACCUCGCAUUACUAAACCUGUAGAUGUUCCUGGUCCGCUCAUCCGGACGGGGGUUCGAUUCCCCCCACCUCCACUA
RNAcentral lists this transfer-messenger RNA (359 nucleotides) under Candidatus Treponema caballi. It matches the Rfam family "transfer-messenger RNA". From Rfam's summary of the family: Bacterial tmRNA, also known as 10Sa RNA or SsrA, is named for its dual tRNA and mRNA-like properties. The record is from RNAcentral. Lineage: Bacteria; Pseudomonadati; Spirochaetota; Spirochaetia; Treponematales; Treponemataceae.